This 775-nucleotide ribosomal RNA is filed under the name uncultured Neocallimastigales. RNAcentral describes it as "partial large subunit ribosomal RNA". It matches the Rfam family "Eukaryotic large subunit ribosomal RNA", at positions 22 to 631 of the family's 3401-position model. The record is from RNAcentral. Lineage: Eukaryota; Fungi; Neocallimastigomycota; Neocallimastigomycetes; Neocallimastigales.
UGUACACGCUGUGACUAGCAUAUCAAUAAGCGGAGGAAAAGAAACUAACUAGGAUUCCCUCAGUAACGGCGAGUGAAGCGGGAAGAGCUCAAAUUUGAAAUCUUCAAGGUUUUACCCUGACGAAUUGUAGUUUAAAGAAGUGUUUUCUGUUGAAGUUUUGGUAAAAGUUCUUUGGAAUAGGACAUCAUAGAGGGUGAGAAUCCCGUAUUUGACCAUUAUUUUCAGCUGUGUGAUACACUUUCAAAGAGUCGGAUUGUUUGGGAAUGCAGUCCAAAAUGGGUGGUAAAUUUCAUCUAAAGCUAAAUAUUGGCGAGAGACCGAUAGCGAACAAGUACCGUGAGGGAAAGAUGAAAAGAACUUUGAAAAGAGAGUUAAACAGUACGUGAAAUUGUCAAAAGGGAAGCGUUUGACACCAGUGUUGUUUUCUCGAAAAUCAAUUAAAAAAGGCAGGAUUUUGUGUUGUAUUGACUUUAUCAGCUUUCUGCACUCUUUUCUUGUCUUUUUUAAUGCACUUUUCGUUUAACAAGGUCAACAUCAAUUUCUUUUGUUGUAAAAGGGUCAUUGGAAGGUGGCUUUCUUUUCGGAGAAAGUGUUUAUAGCCUUUGGCCUCUGCAAUCGGAGAGAUUGAGGUCUGCAGCGUAGAUCCUCGGGGUUAGAUACAUUUGUGCUAAGUUAUAGCCUUUCAUAGACAACUUGUUGACUAUGAUCAGUCAUGUAGCUUACUCGCUUAUGCUAUUUUACCUACGCUUAGGAUGUUGAAGACUCUACAGAGAUA